CUUUACUGUAGCCUGGAAUUGGGUUCGGGCUUGGCCUGCGCAGUAUAGGUGGGAGGCGUUGAGUUUAUUCUCGCGGGAAUUUAGGAACCAUCAGUGAGAUACCACUCUGGUAAUGUUAGAUUUCUAACUUUGUAUCAUAAUCUGGUCAAAGGACAGUUUCAGGCGGGCAGUUUGACUGGGGCGGUCGCCUCCUAAAUGGUAACGGAGGCGUACAAAGGUUUCCUCUGAACGUGUAGAAAUCGUAUCUAGAGUAUAAAGGCAUAAGGAAGCUUGACUGUGAGACUUACAAGUCGAGCAGGGACGAAAGUCGGUCUUAGUGAUCUGACGGUGCUGAGUGGAAAGGCCGUCACUCAACGGAUAAAAGUUA
This 367-nucleotide ribosomal RNA is filed under the name uncultured organism. RNAcentral describes it as "bacterial LSU rRNA". It matches the Rfam family "Bacterial large subunit ribosomal RNA", at positions 2099 to 2465 of the family's 2925-position model. The record is from RNAcentral.